This 427-nucleotide ribosomal RNA is filed under the name uncultured bacterium. RNAcentral describes it as "partial 16S ribosomal RNA". It matches the Rfam family "Bacterial small subunit ribosomal RNA", at positions 355 to 774 of the family's 1533-position model. The record is from RNAcentral.
UGGGGAAUAUUGCACAAUGCGCGCAAGCCUGAUGCAGCCAUGCCGCGUGUAUGAAGAAGGCCUUCGGGUUGUAAAGUACUUUCAGCGGGGAGGAAGGCGAUAAGGUUAAUAACCUUGUCGAUUGACGUUACCCGCAGAAGAAGCACCGGCUAACUCCGUGCCAGCAGCCGCGGUAAUACGGAGGGUGCAAGCGUUAAUCGGAAUUACUGGGCGUAAAGUGCACGCAGGCGGUCUGUCAAGUCGGAUGUGAAAUCCCCGGGCUCAACCUGGGAACUGCAUUCGAAACUGGCAGGCUAGAGUCUUGUAGAGGGGGGUAGAAUUCCAGGUGUAGCGGUGAAAUGCGUAGAGAUCUGGAGGAAUACCGGUGGCGAAGGCGGCCCCCUGGACAAAGACUGACGCUCAGGUGCGAAAGCGUGGGGAGCAAACA